This 529-nucleotide ribosomal RNA is filed under the name uncultured Bacteroidota bacterium. Its description in RNAcentral is "bacterial SSU rRNA". It matches the Rfam family "Bacterial small subunit ribosomal RNA", at positions 224 to 750 of the family's 1533-position model. The record is from RNAcentral. Lineage: Bacteria; Pseudomonadati; Bacteroidota.
GAUGAGCAUGCGUCCCAUUAGCUAGUUGGUAAGGUAACGGCUUACCAAGGCUACGAUGGGUAGGGGUCCUGAGAGGGAGAUCCCCCACACUGGUACUGAGACACGGACCAGACUCCUACGGGAGGCAGCAGUGAGGAAUAUUGGUCAAUGGGCGCAAGCCUGAACCAGCCAUGCCGCGUGCAGGAUGACGGUCCUAUGGAUUGUAAACUGCUUUUGCACAGGAAGAAACAACAUUACGUGUAAUGUCUUGACGGUACUGUGAGAAUAAGGAUCGGCUAACUCCGUGCCAGCAGCCGCGGUAAUACGGAGGAUCCAAGCGUUAUCCGGAAUCAUUGGGUUUAAAGGGUCCGUAGGCGGUUUGGUAAGUCAGUGGUGAAAGCCCAUCGCUCAACGGUGGAACGGCCAUUGAUACUGCCAGACUUGAAUUAUUAGGAAGUAACUAGAAUAUGUAGUGUAGCGGUGAAAUGCUUAGAGAUUACAUGGAAUACCAAUUGCGAAGGCAGGUUACUACUAAUGGAUUGACGCUGAU